UUCCGGUUGAUCCUGCCAGAGGUCACUGCUAUCGGGGUUCGAUUAAGCCAUGCGAGUCGAGAGGGUUCGGCCCUCGGCGUACUGCUCAGUAACACGUGGAUAACCUGCCCUAGGGGAGGGGAUAACCCCGGGAAACUGGGGAUAAUACCCUAUAGGUUACAGAUGCUGGAAUGCCCUGUAACCAAAAGCUCCGGCGCCCUAGGAUGGAUCUGCGGCCGAUUAGGUUGUUGUUGGGGUAACGGCCCAACAAGCCCGUAAUCGGUACGGGUUGUGGGAGCAAGAGCCCGGAGUUGGAUUCUGAGACACGAAUCCAGGCCCUACGGGGCGCAGCAGGCGCGAAACCUUUACAAUGCGGGCAACCGUGAUAAGGGAACCUCGAGUGCCUGUAAACGCAGGCUGUUCAGGUGUUUAAAACGCACCUGGAGAAAGGGCCGGGCAAGACCGGUGCCAGCCGCCGCGGUAAUACCGGCGGCUCGAGUGGUGGCCGCUUUUAUUGGGAUUAAAGCGUU
RNAcentral lists this ribosomal RNA (509 nucleotides) under uncultured archaeon. RNAcentral describes it as "bacterial SSU rRNA". It matches the Rfam family "Archaeal small subunit ribosomal RNA", at positions 1 to 519 of the family's 1478-position model. The record is from RNAcentral.